CAGUCGAACGCGUCUUGGUUAUUGAUGUUGGAUGCUUGCAUUUAACUGAUUUAACAUUGAGACGAGUGGCGAACUGGUGAGUAACACGUGGGUAACCUGCCCUUGAAGUAGGGGAUAACACUUGGAAACAGGUGCUAAUACCGUAUAACAACCAAAACCACCUGGUUUUGGUUUAAAAGAUGGCUUCGGCUAUCACUUUAGGAUGGACCCGCGGCGUAUUAGCUUGUUGGUAAGGUAACGGCCUACCAAGGCAAUGAUACGUAGCCGACCUGAGAGGGUAAUCGGCCACAUUGGGACUGAGACACGGCCCAAACUCCUACGGGAGGCAGCAGUAGGGAAUCUUCCACAAUGGACGAAAGUCUGAUGGAGCAACGCCGCGUGAGUGAUGAAGGGUUUCGGCUCGUAAAACUCUGUUGUUGGAGAAGAACAGGUGUGAGAGUAACUGUUCACAUCUUGACGGUAUCCAACCAGAAAGCCACGGCUAACUACGUGCCAGCAGCCGCGGUAAUACGUAGGUGGCAAGCGUUGUCCGGAUUUAUUGGGCGUAAAGCGAGCGCAGGCGGUUUCUUAGGUCUGAUGUGAAAGCCUUCGGCUUAACCGGAGAAGUGCAUCGGAAACCAGGAGACUUGAGUGCAGAAGAGGACAGUGGAACUCUAUGUGUAGCGGUGAAAUGCGUAGAUAUAUGGAAGAACACCAGUGGCGAAGGCGGCUGUCUGGUCUGUAACUGACGCUGAGGCUCGAAAGCAUGGGUAGCGAACAGGAUUAGAUACCCUGGUAGUC
This 780-nucleotide ribosomal RNA is filed under the name uncultured bacterium. Its description in RNAcentral is "bacterial SSU rRNA". It matches the Rfam family "Bacterial small subunit ribosomal RNA", at positions 59 to 795 of the family's 1533-position model. The record is from RNAcentral.